AACAAAUUGAUCUACUCGAGCCUCAAGACCAAUAGAUUCCUUUCUGUCAAGGGACAAUCCCCCUGGAGCAACAUGGAGUAAAGUGUCUUGCUCAAGGACACACUGGUGGUGGCUGCUGGGAUCGAACCAGCAACCUUUGAUUUACCAGUUCAGUGGUUUAACCCACUAGACCACCAUCUUCAGACAUGGGAUGGACACUGUCAUGUUGGCAUAGAAAAGGGACCUUUUCUGACUGUUGCUAUGAAAUUAGAAGCACACAGUUCUCUAGUAUAUGAAGAUUUAUUGUAGCGUUGGGAUUUCUUCUCAUGGAAAUUACCAAAGCAGUCAAACCUGUUGAUUACUUUUGCCCAUAAAGUGUAUUUAAUUUAUGACAACUAAAUCACAAUAAAGUCGACAGUGUAAGCAAGAAGGGGAGCACAUUAAUCCAGCAGUAGCAUAUGGUGGCGUGUCCUUUUUCAUUUUGGGGGGUUUAGAGAACUCUACAUGAGUGAGUGUAAUUGGAGUUGUCAAUGGUGCUGCACUAAAAGUGCUUUUGGCUGUGAUGUAACCUUCCCAUCGAAAGCUGACCCAAGACCCGUGAUGAUCAAUAUUGUAGAACAACAUUCUGAAACACUUUUGCCUCUUGAAACAUUAUUGAAAAACGUGCAAUUUCAAUGCCCAACUUUCGUCUGGGAGCUGAUUAUUUCUUCAUGGACAUACAGACCUUCUCCUCACUUUCAUACUCAAGCCCUUAAGGCAAAGGCGUCGCUUACGUUAAAACAAUCAUUUGAAAACUAUGUACACCGGACUACGGGUGCAUGAAGGGACAACAUCUCACGCUUUUUGUUUUUAU
This is a long non-coding RNA of Triplophysa dalaica, 832 nucleotides long. RefSeq lists it as uncharacterized. The transcript is spliced from 3 exons. Lineage: Eukaryota; Metazoa; Chordata; Actinopteri; Cypriniformes; Nemacheilidae. The record is from RefSeq and is a predicted model, not a curated record.